CCAAUAGCGUAUAUUAAAGUUGUUGCAGUUAAAAAGCUCGUAGUUGAAUUUCGGGAUCAAUACGUCGGUCGUGCCUCUGGUAUGUACUGGUGUUAUUGAUUCCUCCUUUCUGAUGAACCAUGAUGUCAUUAAUUUGGUGUUGUGGGGAGUCAGGACUGUUACUUUGAAAAAAUUAGAGUGUUUAAAGCAGGCCUACGCUUGAAUACAUUAGCAUGGAAUAAUGAAAUAGGACGUUCGAACCUAUUUUGUUGGUUUCUAGGAUCAACGUAAUGAUUAAUAGGGAUAGUUGGGGGCAUUAGUAUUCAAUUGUCAGAGGUGAAAUUCUUGGAUUUAUUGAGGACUAACUACUGCGAAAGCAUUUGCCAAGGAUGUUUUCAUUAAUCAAGAACGAAAGUUAGGGGAUCGAAGACGAUCAGAUACCGUCGUAGUCUUAACCAUAAACUAUGCCGACUAGGGAUCGGAUGAUGUUAAUUUUUUAAUGACUCAUUCGGCGCCUUACG
RNAcentral lists this ribosomal RNA (500 nucleotides) under uncultured Glomeromycotina. RNAcentral's name for it is "partial small subunit ribosomal RNA". It matches the Rfam family "Eukaryotic small subunit ribosomal RNA", at positions 591 to 1092 of the family's 1831-position model. Lineage: Eukaryota; Fungi; Glomeromycota. The record is from RNAcentral.